UUGAUCCUGGCUCAGAAUCAACGCUGGCGGCGUGCCUAACACAUGCAAGUCGAGCGAGAAAGUGUAGCAAUACAUGAGUACAGCGGCGCACGGGUAAGUUACACGUGGGUAAUCUGCCCUAGAGUGGGGAAUAACACCGGGAAACCGGUUCUAAUACCGCAUACGAUCACGAUGUCUGCGGACGUUGUGAUGAAGGGAGUAAUUCGCUCUUGGAGGAGCCCGCGGCUGAUUAGCUAGUUGGUAAGGUAAUGGCUUACCAAGGCUACGAUCAGUAUCCGGUCUGAGAGGACGGUCGGACAUACUGGAACUGAGACACGGUCCAGACUCCUACGGGAGGCAGCAGUGGGGAUUUUUUCGCAAUGGGGGCAACCCUGACGAAGCAACGCCGCGUGGGUGAUGUAGUAUCUCGGUACGUAAAACCCUUUCGACGGGGAAGAAAACCGCAAGGUUUGACGGUACCCGUAGAAGAAGCCCCGGCUAACUCCGUGCCAGCAGCCGCUGUAAU
This 505-nucleotide ribosomal RNA is filed under the name uncultured Acidobacteriota bacterium. RNAcentral's name for it is "bacterial SSU rRNA". It matches the Rfam family "Bacterial small subunit ribosomal RNA", at positions 13 to 524 of the family's 1533-position model. Lineage: Bacteria; Pseudomonadati; Acidobacteriota. The record is from RNAcentral.